This is a non-coding RNA of Podarcis lilfordi (Lilford's wall lizard), 21930 nucleotides long. The record is from the annotation of a GenBank genome assembly. Lineage: Eukaryota; Metazoa; Chordata; Lepidosauria; Squamata; Lacertidae.
CUUCUACACUUUGCCAAGGAACGGCACCUGGUGAGAAUAUGUUGUUGUUGUUGUUGUUGUUGUUGUUGUUGUUGUUGUUAUAACGUGCCUCUGAUGGUGUUGAGGAAUAUCCUCAACUGGAGGAUGCAGAGACAGGAGAGACAGGUAACCACUUCAAGCACUCCUUGGCUUUAAAAAGAAGGGGAAGAGCGAUUGCUCAGCAAUAGAACAUCUGCUUUUCAGGCAGAAAAUUGCAAGUUCAAUCCCUGGUGCCCCUGCUAGGUCUUGGGAAUGAGACCCCUUCCUGAACCCCAGAGACCUGCUGCCAGUCAGUGCAGUCAGUUCUGAAUUAGAUGGACCAAUGUUCAGACUCGUUAUAGGAAGAUGGCUUAGAUAUGACCAUCCAUUAUGAGUGUAAUGUACGUUUAGUCAACGUGACACCCUGUUGAUGGCUGGGGCAGAAGCGAGUUGGAGUUCAACAACAUCUGUUGUUGUUUAGUCGUUUAGUCGUGUCCGACUCUUCGUGACCCCAUGGACCAGAGCACGCCAGGCACUCCUGUCUUCCACUGCCUCCCGCAGUUUAGUCAAACACAUGCUGGUAGCUUCGAGAACACUAUCCAACCAUCUCGUCCUCUGUCGUCCCCUUCUCCUUGUGCCCUCCAUCUUUCCCAGCAUCAGGGUCUUUUCCGGGAGUCUUCUCUUCUCAUGAGGUGGCCAAAGUAUUGGAGCCUCAGCUUCACGAUCUGUCCUUCCAGUGAGCACUCAGGGCUGAUUUCCUUCAGAAUGGAGAGGUUUGAUCUUCUUGCAGUCCAUGGGACUCUCAAGAGUCUCCUCCAGCAUCAUAAUUCAAAGCAUCAAUUCUUCGGCGAUCAGCCUUCUUUAUGGUCCAGCUCUCACUUCCAUACAUCACUACUGGGAAAACCAUAGCUUUAACUAUACGGACCUUUGUUGGCAAGGUGAUGUCUCUACUUGUCUUUGUUGUCAAGGUGAUGUCUCAACAACAUCUACUAUCCCUGAUUUAACAUGUUAACCAGUUCUGAAUGUCAGUUUAGGCUGAGCAAGUGGCAGUCGCUGCAGGCAUUCUUUUCAAGUGCUCCACCAAAAACAAGAAAAAGAAGGUGCAGAAUUGCAUUGCAUUUCCAUAUGGUAAUGGUCCAUGGGUAAAAGUUUAGAAACAAUUAUACGCAGAGAACCAGGCAGAAGGCUUUCUUGGCAGUGGCGUCCGCUCUGUGGAACACCCUCCUAUCAGAUGUCAAGGAAAUAAAUAUCUGACUUUAGAAGACAUCUGAAGGCAACCCUGUAUCAGGAAGUUUUCAAUGUCUAAUGUUUUACCAUUUUUAAUGAGUUGUAAGCUGGCCAGAGCGGCUAGGGAAACCCAGCCAGAUGGGCGGGGUAUAAAUAAUAAAAUUAUUACUAUUAAAAUAGAAAUAAACUCCAACUCACCAUAGUGACAAAGGGCCAUUCUUAUUGACACUGCUGUGGUAUUUUGCUAUUUAAACUUUUCUUCUUUAAAAAAACAAACUAUAAAUGGACACUUAAAAGUUAAAUCAGAUUGUGAUUCACCUCUGAAUGCUUCCUACCAGACUCAACCUUCUGUCUUUUUUUACCAGAAGCAAACCUUAGGAUUUACAGGCAAACCUAAAGUGAGAAAAUAGUAUUGGUUUUACAGAAGCAACAUUGAAUCCUAGGACUCUUCCCAUGAUGGAGUGAGCUUCCGUUGCUCUGUCCCAGCUUCUGCCAACCUAGCAGAAAGCACGCCAGUGCAAGUAGAUAAAUAGGUACUGCUGUGGUGGGAAGUUAACAGCAUUUCCAUGCACUGAGAGUUCUAUCACAAUGUUCUGUUGUGCCAGAAGCGGUUUAGUCAUGCUGGCCACAUGGCCCAGAAGGCUGUCUGUGGACAAACACCGGCUCCCUCAGCCUGAAGAGUGAGAUGAGCAUCACACCCCAUAGUUGCCUUUGACUGGACUUAACUGUCCAGGAAUCCUUUACCUUUAGCUUACCUAGUGGCCCGGGUGGUCCAGAAUCCUGUUCUCAUAGUGGCCAACUAGAUGCCUAUGGGAAACCUGCAAGAAGGAUCUGGGCACAAGAACACCCUCCUUUCCUGAAGUUUCCAGCAACUAGCAUUAUUGCCUUUGAUGACUUGGGUGACAGAGCACUUUUGUUGUUGUUGUUUAGUUGUUUAGUGGUGUCCGACUCUUCGUGACCCCAUGGACCAGAGCAUGCCAGGCACUCCUGUCUUCCACUGCCUCCCGCAGUUUGGUCAAACUCAUGCUGGUAGCUUUGACAGCACUGUCCAACCAUCUCAUCCUCUGUUGUCCCCUUCUCCUUGUGCCCUCCAUCUUUCCCAAUAUCAGGGUCUUUUCCAGGGAGUCUUCUCUUCUCAUGAGGAGGCCAAAGUAUUGGAUGGAGCCUCAGCUUCAGGAUCUGUCCUUCCAUUGAGCACUCAGGGCUGAUUUCCUUCAGAAUGGAUAGGUUUGAUCUUCUUGCGGUCCAUGGGACUCUCAAGAGUCUCCUCCAGCACCAUAAUUCAAAAGCAUCAAUUCUUCAGCGAUCAGCCUUCUUUAUGGUCCAGCUUUCACUUCCAUACAUCACUACUGGGAAAACCAUAGCUUUUACUAUACGGACCUUUGUUGGCAAGGUGAUGUCUCUGCUUUUUAAGAUGCUGUCUAGGUUUGUCAUUGCUUUUCUUCCAAGAAGCAGGCCUCUUUUAAUUUCUUGGCUGCUGUCACCAUCUGCAGUGAUCAUGGAGCCCAAGAAAGUAAAAUCUCUCACUGCCUCCAUUUACUCCCCUUCUAUUUGCCAGGAGGUGAAGGGCCCACUGGCCAUAAUCUACUUUUUUUUGAUGUUGAGUUUCAGACCAUAUUUUGCGCUCUCCUCUUUCACCCUCAUUAAAAGGUUCUUUAAUUCCUCCUCACUUUCUGCCAUCAGGGCUGUGUCAUCUGCAUAUCUGAGGUUGUUGAUAUUUCUUCUGGCAAUCUUAAUUCCGGCUAGGGAUUCAUCGAGCUCCGCCUUUCGCAUGAUGAAUUCUGCAUAUAAGUUAAAUAAGCAGGGAGACAAUAUACAGCCUUGUCGUACUCCUUUCCCACUUUAAUCCACUUUAAAUGUAGAAACCUAGUUCUGGUAUGCAGCUGAUUCACUGCUGCAAAAUACUGGAGAUCUGGAGGCAGCCCUCCAAUAUGCAGCACUUGAGGAAAAAUAAAGCCUUUUGAUUGUAACUGUUAGGGUUUGCUUUUUCUUUAUUCUUUCCAAUUUGGGCCAUUCCUGGACUGAGCAUUGCUCCCAUAUGAAUAAUAAACCAGUUCCUGGAGCAUUUCUGGGCAACAAAGGGCUGUUACUUUUGCGGCUGCUUCUCCUUCUCACAUUUCCAUUGUUCCAGAUUUUCAAAGGAGUCAGCCAGGUGGAAGUGGAAAAAUAAAAGUAUAUGGGAUUUGCAAAGAUUAUAUGCAUUUCUGUGUGGUUGAACGAACACUGUUAUGGUCUGUUUAAGCUAAAGCAUGAAUGCAGAAUUCAUGACCACUGUAAGAACAGGAUGCUGUGUUAAGUAUAAUUGUUUAAUUCACACUGAAAUGCCUAAAUGUGCAUUACUGAAGGCUUUAACAUGGGGAAAUUUCACUGAAGUAUUCUAAGUGGUCUCUGAACCCCUUGAUGGGUUGAUAAUUAACUAUUGUUGUUUUCUGCUAGCUAACACGGGAGUGUUUAACUUUAGAUCAGGGUACAAAGGUAUUUGGUUGCAAAUCUCCAUUUUGAAGGGAGUUGCCUUUGUUCUCAGGCUCUGUGCGAGUAAAGAUGUGUAAAUGGCUCUCCAGGAAAACAGCUCCAGGCAAAAUGGAGGCUGUAAGGAGAGCGAGACCUUUGAUUAUAGGUCUAUUUAGAAUUAUCUUUUAUAUCUCAGAAGAUGAACCUGUGGACUUGCAUCAAAUAUUGUAUGGAAUUAUCUGGAUGUAUCUUUGAUGUUUUUGUUCUGUUUUGAAGAAAGUUCUGUAAGUAAAGUUUUUUGAUAAUAUCUAAUGGGUCUGGACAACGCUCUAUUUCAUAAGGAGUCAGUUUCUAUGCACCCAGUAGCUUCAAACUGCGUAAUGUUAAUAGCAAUAUGCUGGGCUGUUGUUGUUGUUUAGUUGUUUAGCUGUGUCCGACUCUUCUUGACCCCAUGGACCAGAGCAUGCCAGGCACUCCUGUCUUCCACUGCCUCCCACAGUUUGGUCAAACUCAUGCUGGUAGCUUCGAGAACACUAUCCAACCAUCUCAUCCUCUGUCGUCCCCUUCUCCUUGUGCCCUCCAUCUUUCCCAACAUCAGGGUCUUUUCCAGGGAGUCUUCUCUUCUCAUGAGGUGGCCAAAGUAUUGGAGCCUCAGCUUCAGGAUCUGUCCUUCCAGUGAGCACUCAGGGCUGAUUUCCUUCAGAAUGGAUGCGUUUGAUUUUCUUGCAGCCCAUGGGACUCUCAAGAGUCUCCUCCAGCACCAUAAUUCAAAAGCAUCAAUUCUUUGGCGAUCAGCCUUCUUUAUGGUCCAGCUCUCACUUCCAUACAUCACUACUGGGAAAACCAUAGCUUUAACUAUACGGACCUUUGUUGGCAAGGUGAUGUCUCUGCUUUUUAAGAUGCUGUCUAGGUUUGUCAUUGCAUGCUGGACUACAUGUUCCAUUGGCCUGAUCCACCAGGUUCUUCUUAUGUUCUUGGGGGUUUCUGAUGCCUGCUUAGCUGAAAUGCUACCCAUCAUCACAUCAUCUUAAGGUGGGUUACAAUAAAACGCUGAUGUUAACAUAAGAUAACUAUAAUGUACUAUACAAAUGAAUUGCAAAAUCAGCUAUAAAAAAAUAUGUAAUAAAGAGAAUUGUAAGCAGCAGCAGAACUAGGACUAACAUCAUAAAAGUCCUCGCAAACAGGUAGCUCUUUACCUGGAGCCGAAAUGUGAACAAUGUUGGAAUCCAUAGCAAUUCCUCUGCAUUGCAAAUUGAAAUUUUUGCUUAUAGAGCUGCAUGUAUUAUCUUAUAUUUUCCAUGGCAAUAAGGAAGUGAGAAAAUAACUACUGUUUAUGGAAUUUACAUAGCAUGCCCUCGCUGAAUUUACAUAGAAUGCCCUCGCUGAAUCCUCCUGUUCCUGGCCAUACCAAAAAGACUUCUUUGUUUGUUAGGUGAAGAUGUCAUCGCAAUAUAAAAUACCCAUUGGUCCACCAAGAUGUCAUAUUCAGAAUAUUGUUUUAAAUGUGUUCUGCCCAGCCCUUCGUAUCUCCUUUCAUAAUUUGCGGUCUGAACAUUCAUUUGGAACAUGGAAUGACCAGAAUAUCACAUUAUCUCUUUUGUUUCUUGCCUGCACCUUUGGCAGUGGGAUUACAUCACUCUGUUUUACUGGGAAAUGCCUAAUUGAAUAGACAGAUUAUUAGAUUAAAAAUGUGUUGGGGUAGAAGACCAUCUUUCAGUUACUUAUUUGCACAGAGCUAGUGUUUUGUGACUCUAAGACCAAUAGAAACUUUAAUGAAUUAGAUUAAUCAUGUUUAGAUUCAAUUAAGAUAGGACUACAAGAUACACAUAUUUCAUUUGUGUGUAUAUUAGUGCAAACAUGGGGGAUUGCUUAUCUCUUCCCACCCCCAAUCUGAUCCCUGUCAAUCAAGUUGCAUAUGAAAAUUGUUCAAAAUGGUGUUCUUGGUGUCUGUUUCUAUUGGGUGGGGACCCUCAGGAGUGGGGGUCCUUCGACAGUGCACCUGUGAACUUGUCCUGAGGAUUCCCACUCCAUAGCUGUCAAGCGUCCCUUAUUUGGCGGGACAGUCCCUUAUCCCAGCGCCAUGUCCCGCUGCUGUCCCUUAUUGAUGAUGUCCCUUAAAUUUCCUGGGUUUCAAAGGAAGCAGCUCCUCUCCCUCCCUCCCUGCCGGCCAGGGAAGAGGGAGGCUCCAACUGUGUUGCUUGGCUGCGUUGCUCACCCAAUAAGGAGUCUAAGAACGACUGGGGGGUGGAGCUUGCAUGCCUUGUGCCAAUCAAAUCGGCCACGUUGCCUGGGGACUCGCCUUUGCUCCCAGCGGAGAGGUGACAGUGGUUUUCUUUUCUGCAUCCCCUUUGCUGGGUUGCUGCGCUAUGGGAACUACCACUUGAGGCUUCAUUUGGCUGCUGCUUGACUAAAAUCCCUUAUUUGGGCUGCUGAUCCCUUAUUUUCGAGACUGCUGGUCCCUUAUUUUCAAAUCUGUAAGUUGACAGCUAUGCUCCACUCCUGUUUGUGCUCCAUCACUGCUGUAGUCAUAUAUUGAAGUCUGUGGUUAAAACAGCAGUUUUUAUCAUAAUAUGUAAUUCUUUUGCCUGUUUUGACAUGUUUUAAUACGCUUCUUAUAUACGUUCUCAUUUCAUUUUUAACUGUAUUGUUUUAUCACUGAUGUGUUUUCCACCCUAGGCUCAUCUGAGAGGAAGGGUUGGAUGUAAAUUUAAUAAAUAAAUGGUUAUAUGCAGUAUUUAUAUUUGAGGUUGUUUUUAAAAGCAGCUUGAGCUGUACUGCAGAUGUAAGGACCCAGCUACUUGAUGUUUCAAAGAUGGUUGAGCAUUUCUUCAUAUCAUUUCUCCUGGCUGGUAUUUCAUGUUAGAAAACUGAAAUUAUAGCAAUAAAAACAAAACCCAUCAUUAAAUAAACAAAUAUAAAUAACUCAGCAAAGUGUGAGGGGUAGUGGAAAGGGGGAAGGUGGCAUUUUUUUCUAACCCUACCAAGCUGGAAAGACGCAUGUUGCCCUCUGAAUUUCCACAGGAGGGAGAAGUCAUUAGCGAACCCAUGAAAGACAGCAAGCAGAUGAUUGUGAAAAAAAAGAUAUUUGUGCCAUUACUUCAGUGCCGCUGUAUUUAAAGUUUCGAGUUCCCAGUGUUUACACAGCGUGUUUGGCUGGCGCUGUGGAACGGUUGUUGGCGAAAAGCAGACAGAGCCAGAAGCUGGUCCAGACGCUUCGAAAACCAAGCAAAAGUGUGGGUGGCUGAGGUGGAAACAGAGGUGAAAUUAAGGAUGCAGUUACUUAGUUUUAAUUCAUUUUAGGGAAAUUCUCUGAAGGUAAUCAUUCUCCCAUAUGAACAUGCCUGUCAGCUGAGGUCAUCGUCAGGAUCUCUUCUCUGUCCUCCAGAAGUUAGGCAGGAGUCUACAAGAAGCGGGGACUUUUUUGUGCUGGCACCCAAGCGAUGCUAAACCCUACCCAGACAUGUGUCCCUGAGGGAGUUGGGAGAGAAACUCAAUUCGGUUUGGAUUUUCAUCUCCGCCAAGCUAAGCAGUUGGCCCCUUAUCUCUCUCGCCCUGACCUAGCCACUGUGAUCCACGCGACGGUCACCUCCAGACUGGAUUAUUGUAACUCGCUCUACGUGGGGCUGCCCUUGAGACUGACCCAGAAACUCCAGCGGGUGCAGAAUGCCGCGGCGAGACUCCUUAUGGGGUCUUCGCUGCGAGAUCACAUUCAUCCGGUACUAUACCAGCUGCACUGGCUCCCGGUGGAGUACAGGAUCAGGUUUAAGGUGCUGGUUUUAACCUUUAAAGCCCUAUACGGCCUAGGACCCUCGUACCUACGGGACCGCCUCUCCUGGUAUGCCCCACAGAGGAACCUACGGUCUGCAAAUAAAAACAUCCUGAAGGUCCCAGGCCUCAGAGAGGUUAGGCUGGCCUCAACUAGAGCCAGGGCUUUCUCGGCUGCGGCUCCAAUCUGGUGGAACGCUCUGUCACAAGAGACUAGGGCCCUGCGGGACCUGACAUCUUUCCGCAAGGCCUGCAAGACAGAGUUGUUCCACCAGGCCUUUGGUCAGGGCCCAGCCUGACUCCCACCUCCGGCAACCUGCACAGAACUUUGCUCAACAGUUGCCAUUAAUUUGAUUUUAAUUAAUUUUUAUAAUGAAAUGUUUUAGAAUGUUGGAUUAUUUAAUUGUUUGAUUAUUUAUUUGUUGUUAGCCGCCCUGAGCCUGGCUUUGGCUGGGGAGGGCGGGAUAUAAAUAAAAUUUAUUAUUAUUAUUAUUAUUAAUGCAAACCCACCUAACGCGCACCUUCCAAAACAAUACACAAACCAAAAUGCAAUUGUAUCUUGAAACUCGCACUUCUCCCUGAAUUUUGUGAUGCAGUUUCCCAAACAAAAGUUGUGUGUAUCUGGGGGACAUGCAUUCGGAAAGGCAUACGUGAGUCGGAUGAACAUACGAAAAAGGGGAACCAUUUGCAAAAAUGUGUACAUCUGGCAAAUCCACAUACAGAAAUGAACAGAUUCAUGCCAAAACCCUGGUAUAUCUUGUGGGAACAUUAAAAAAAAAAAAAAAUCACCAACCGAAGCAGAAAUGUGGAGAACUGAAUUUAAGAUUGGAAAAAUGAGAAACUGGGAGAAAGCAAAAUUAGCAGGUUUGUUCACCUCUAGUGCCCAGCAUCUUCUCUGCUAUCUCACAGGCAAAGUAUGCUCUGUGCUUUUCUGUCUUCAGGGGUUUUAAAUAUUGAAAAUCCUUUUGAUUACGAGCACAAAAAACAAUCAGAGCAAUAGCUGAAACCCAUGUGAAAUACUCAGAGUCGAGAGUGGAUUUCAUGCUCUUUAUUCAGCUCAUAGUGGUGAGGAGGAAUGAAAGUUUCCCCAAAGUAUCUGCUUUAUAUACAUUAUUUACACAAUGGGCUCCACGUGAUUGGCUAAUUCCAGAAUUCUCCUGUAGGCCAAUCAGGUUGUGGAUUCACUUCCAUCUGGAGCUGGAUUGGGUGGCUCCUGCAGACCAAUUAUACUGCUGCAUUGUUCUAGGACUAAUCAGACUGCUGACUUCUGAAUCCUAUUGUUCUAGGACCGAUCAGAUUGCUGCAUUUUGGAUCCUAUUGUUCUAGGACCAAUCAGACUGCUGCAUUUUGGAUCCUAUUCAACUCAGUACAUAACACCACGGCUGCUCACUGGACUGGUUGCAUGUAAGAAGACAGGCAGGUGUGGGCAGCCUGGGGCUGAAAGGGCUGUGGUCCAUUUCCCCUGAUCACUGAAUCAUAAAACUGUAGAGUUGGAAGGGACACCAAGGGUCAUCUAGUCCAGCCCCCAGCAAUGCAGGAAUCCUGCCUGCAGUUGUCCCUGGGUAGGCUCGAACCACUAACCUUCUGGUUAACAGCCAGAUGCACUGACCUAUUGUGCCAUUGGGGAUGGGCCAGCCUUCACCGCUCCAAUCAUGAUGAUAUACGAUAUCUUUAUUGUUAUUGUCCCAUACAGAACAAUGAAAUUGGAAAUCUACAUAAAACAUUCAAAACCCCCUAAAAACUCUGAAACCCCUUUUUAAAAUACAAUAUACUAUAGAGACUCCUUAUGCUGCGUCUAGAACCAGAAUUGCAUUUGUGUAGAAACUCUUUCUCAGGCAGCUAGUCCUGGUCUUUAUAACCCUAUACCUUCUUCCAGGGGCAGAAGCUGAAAGAGAUCAUUUCCAGGGUGUGUACUAUCCUGCGCUAUCUCUGCAGCUUUCUUAUGGCACCUGACACCAUAGACAGCAUAGACAAAGUUCAAGGAUUCCAUACAAGAAUCCCAUCAGCGUUGCGAUUACCAAUGAAGUUGACAAGCCAUGUUUCCACUGAGUUAUUAACAAAUGGACUGAUUCAUCUUGCAAAUCAGUGCAUGCCAUUAACCCUGGUGGAGCAAGCUUUGGUCUUUCGCAGUGUCGGAAUAUAGCAUUCAAUGGGCAGAGGGGAGUUCAGAAAUGUUCCUGAACGGCAUGUGCAUUUCUGGAACUGGCAAGAGAAACAGAUCCUCAUUCCAGCUGUUUAGACAGAGCAUCCCUGUGAGAUGCACUCAGCACUAUGGAAAGACCAGACACAUUUUCUCUCUGUUUUUUCUGUUCUGCGUUUGUGCCAUACAAGGUCAUUUGUGUCUCUGUUUGGUGGACUGGAGUAUAUUUAUGCAUCUUUGUCUAUUCUUUUUUAUUUUGGGGGGGGAAAGAAAUAAUUUUAAAAAUAUACAAACCAAUGCAUUGGGUCUAAAACAGCUGUCAACAACCUGGUGCCCUCUAAAUGUUGUGAAAUAUAACCCCCACGAGCCCCUGCUAGCUGAGGUUGGUGGGAGUCCAAAACAGGGGGAGGGCAGCAAGUUGACCAGGGCUGCUCAAAAGCAUAAUUUGGGGGCCCAUUUUAACUACUUUUCCUUACAGAAAAGUUCUAUUAUUAUUGUCACACCAUCAGUUUGUUUUUCGCUGUAUUAGACGCACCGGACGAUUGGACGCACCUAGUUUUUAGGGGAGGAAAACAAGAAAUAAGAAAGGAAUGCAAAGCAUUCUGAGCUAAGAGGGAGCGCACCUCCAUCUUCGCUCACUAGGCUUUGCGGGGCUAUCCCUGAAGCCAGGAGAGCAAGCGGGAUCUGUGCGCACCGAUCCCUCUUGCUCUCCUGGCUUCAGCAAAAGCAAGCCUACUGGCUUUCCUCCUGCAAGAGCCGUGCGCUCUUUAAAGGGAGUGCGGCUCUUGGGGGCUUUUCUGGGAGGUGGGGGAAGGAAGAGAGCCGCGCGUUCUGUCCCUUCCCCCACCUCCCGCAGAAGCCAGGGAUAGCUGCACGAAGCCUCCGCAGGGGAGCGGGAUGAAGACUCCCCGCUCCCCUGCAGAGGCUUCGCGUGGCUAAGCCAGAAGCUAGAACAGCCAGCAGGAUCACAGUGCAGCGAUCCCGCUGGCUGUCCUGGCUUCUUCUUUAGCCAUGCGCAACCUCUCCCAGGCAAGGGGAGCCUUCAUCCUCUGUCCGGGAGAGACUGCGUGUGGCUAAGACUCCCCCAAGAGCCGCGCUCCCUUUAAAGAGUGCGCAGAGUGUGUGUGCGGCUCUUGGGGGCUUUUCCCCGAGGAAGGAGAAGGGCAGCCCUUCUCCCUCCUUGGGAAAAGCCCCCAAGAGCCGCACACACGCUCCACACGGCUCUUUAAAGGGAGCACCGACAGAGCCUCCCGCCUGCAUUCGCUCCAUAAGACGCACACACAUUUCCCCUUACUUUUUAUGAGGGGAAAAGUGCGUCUUAUAGAGCGAAAAAUACGGUACUUACUGUUUUUAUUGCACCACUAGUGCGUAUGGUGCUUAACACAAGAGGAUCUAUGUUCCUCUUACACUCUAUAAUUCCAAAAAUGAAGAAGGGGUGGGAGUGGAGGAAAGGAAUACGAGGGAGGGAAAAUGCCACAGUUUUUAAGAAAAGCCCAUCAGCCAGUUUGUAGCCCAGUCCCAACAACUAUUUCCUUAAAUUCAUCAAAAUCACUUCUUCCGCAAACUUCCCCUCACCUGCAGAAAUUUGCUGUGUCUUUAGGGUGUAUGGCACACACCACUCCCCCUUUUUCUAUAGUUAAUGCUUAGCAGAUUUCAACAAGUCUGCCUGGCUCUGUGUGUUAAAAAAAAAAGUACAGUUUUAAGUAGUGACAAAUAGAAAGCACAUGCUUAUUAUACAACUACAUUACACAACUGCUGAGCAGCUUUUAUGUCAUCUGCACUUAAAACAACAGACUUGUGGAGGCUUGUGCUGUUGUGUGUGUCAGUAUUAGAAAGCUGAGUAGGACUGAGUAGGAAUCCUAGUUGUUUGGAGUUUUGCUGCACCUAUUGCAUUUUUAUCCCACCCUUCCUCCUCAAGGAGCUCUGGGCUGCAUGUGUGUGUGUGUGUGUGUGUGUGUGUGAGAGAGAGAGAGAGAGAGAGAGAUGGGGGGGGGGGAGAACCCACAAUUUACACAGGAAUUAUGUUCCAGGGAUCAGGCCUAAAGCCAAAAUUGCCUAUAGCCAAAACACAAUGGGUUCAAUAGCGGGUGGGAUUGUCAAAAUCAUUUCGCCCCUUUCCAUCCCUUUUCAAUUCUGUUUAAAUUUUUUGCCGUGCACGUAGAGCAGAACACACACAAGUUAAAUGCUCAUAAAUUGCGGGAUUACUGUUCAAUUUCAAAACAAAAACAAAGAAAAGCAGCUUUUAAUACUUCCAAAAGCAUAACAAAACAAUUGCCAUGGAAAACUUCUAAAAGAAGUUACAGGCACAGUGGUACCUCGGGUUAAGAACUUAAUUUGUUCUGGAGGUCCGUUCUUAACCUGAAACUGUUCUUAACCUGAGGUACCACUUCAGCUAAUAGGGCCUCCAGCUGCUGCCAUGCCACAGCCAUGCGAUUUCUGUUCUCAUCCUGAAGCAAAGUUCUUAACCCGAGGUACUAUUUCUGGGUUAGCGGAGUCUGUAACCUGAAGCGUCUGUAACCUGAAGCAUCUGUAACCCGAGGUACUACUGUAAAAACAUUCCAAGGGCAAUUGCCAUUACAAAAAUGUUUCUAUCCAAUGAUCUUGAGGUUGCCGGGACAACAUUCCUACCCAGCCUUUCAAUCUGAGAUCCUUCAAGGUGGCACAUGUCAAAAGAAUUUGGGCAAUACUGGACCACCAAGCCCCAUCAGUGCGGAGCCGGUGCACCCAUGAGGCAAGCUGAGGCAAUCACCUCAGGUGACAGAAUCCACAGGGGCAGCAGAUUUGACCUCCAAGAAAUGCAUUACCUAUUAUGGCCGCCACCAAAUCUGUCAUCUCCGCCGCAGGGCUUCCACAAUGCUGCCUCUAAAGUAGUCUCUUAGCAAAUAGAAGGCACUCUUGGUUUCCCCGCACCCCUGUUUCUGAUGUAGAUCUUUAUUCAUCUGUUCUUCCCCGGUGAGGAGGGGGACACUACCAUUUUGUGAUUUGAUGCCCAUGACAUUUUGGCACCUGAAGCAAUUUUGUUCCAGAAGUUUCUCCUUAUACAAGCUUCCACAAAUAGUUAGCUCCAGAUCUUUCCUGUGUGAAUUAACAAGGCAGGAUUUAUCUAUUAACACACCCAUAACAUCAGUCAUGUUACCCAGUGACCAUCUUCAGAGAGGGUGUCUGUCACAUCUUCUGGAUAUCUUGGACUACAAUUCCCAUCUGCCCCAGCCAGCAUGCUCAAUGGUCAGAGACCAUGGGAGUUGUAGUCCACAGCAGCUGGAAGGCACCAGUUCAGGGAAAGCUGCGACAGCUUGUUGCGAUAUCCAAACGCAGCCAAUAGUUUCAAAGAGACAUGGUGUGUGCACAUGAUUUUCUCUUGUCCUGCUCUUGCCACUGGUCAAACAAGUUUUUUGAAAACGUGUAAGAUCAUGCUAAAGCAAUUCACCACCACAAAAAUGGGAUGAAUAUGCAGAACACAUGUCAUGGUUCUUCUUUCAAACUGCUUUCAACACCCUGGAAAAAAAGCGCCCCCUUCCAGCCAAAGCCUGUGUCCUAUUCAAUUCUGGUUUUAAUGUAAGAACAUAUUAACUGCUUUUUGGGAUCAGAGAAAAGAUCUAUCUAGUCCAGCAUUCUUCUUCCAACAGCAGCCAACCAGCAAGUUUCCUCUCCACAGAGUUCGGAUUCUUCCUCACAGUAUUGGCAGUAACAUUUAACCAUAGAGGCACAGGACAAUAUUUUCUUAUUCCUCACCCGCACUUCAAACACUCCCCACCCUGCCAGGAACAAUGAUAACAGCUGAUGCUUAGCUUCAUAAUAUCUGUCACUGGCAAAAUGCAGUGCAGAGCCAGUUAAUAUCAUAUCACUGCUUUGAUGCACAAAAGAAAGAGGCUUUUAAGUGCUUUUACGUGUUCAAAGCAUUAUGCUGGGUGUGGGCGGGUGAGUAAAAUAACACGGAGCAUUAUCACAACUUUCUUCCCCUCAGAUUUGCUUACUGAAGUAAUCUGUACAUUUUAAGUUUCCCACAGUGAUAUACUUUUCCAGUUUUUAAAACAACACAAACAUUUUCCUUGGCUAGCUGCCUGGUGCAAAGAAUAAAAGUUGUCAGUGCAGCUAAAUGACUUUAAAAUACAAGGUAUUUUCUCUGAGGAGAAGCAGAGAAUGUAAAAGUGAUCUGUGCAGGCGUGAUCCUAUUCACAGGAGGCCAGGAAAAACAAACCGGGGCAGCUGACUAUCUCUUUGACAGCUAAGUGAUUUCUUUCCUCAGCUGUCCACCAUCUCAAUAAGAUGCUCACGUGCUUCACCAAUAUUUGUUUAUCUCCUCUUGGGCACGGGCUGCAAUGGCACGGCAUUUAAGGUGUGUCCAGAGAUAUUUCUAGGGAAGGGUUGUGUCUGGACGUGCAACUCGUGAUGGGGCAGAUGUAUUUUGCCAUGCGCGUUGGCAGUCAAGUCAUAUGCAUGCUUAAGGUAAAGGUAAAGGGACUCCUGACCAUUAGGUCCAGUCGUGACCAACUCUGGGGUUGCGGUGCUCAUCUCGCUUUAUUGGCCAAGGGAGCUGGCGUACAGCUUCCGGGUCAUGUGGCCAGCAUGACUAAGCUGCUUCUGGCGAACCAGAGCAGCGCACAGAAACGCCGUUUACCUUUCCACUGGAGCGGUACCUAUUUAUCUAUUUGCACUUUGAUGUGCUUUCGAACUGCUAGGUUGGCAGGAGCAGGGACCGAGCAAUGGGAGCUCACCCCAUCGCGGGGAUUCGAACUGCCAGCCUUCUGAUCGGCAAGCCCUAGGCUCUGUGGUUUAACCCACAGAGCCACCUACGUCCCAUAUGCAUGCUUACUCAGGAGUAAUUACCAACAAGUGCAAUGGGGUUUACUCCCAAGCAACUGCAUGUAGCAUCGUUGUCACACACUGCAAUUUCAUGCAUGUUUGCUCAGAAGUAAGUCUGGGAGGAUUUUGUUGUACUCAGGUUCUUGUGGCAGGCUUCCCAUAGGCAUCUGACGCAUAGAAUCGUAGAAUUGGAAGGGACCACGAGGGUCAUCUACUCCAACCCCUGCAAUGCAGGAAACUUUUGCCCAGUGUGGAGCUUGAACUCACGACCAUGAGAUUAAGAGUCUCAUGCUCUACCAAUUGGCCACUAUGAGAACGGGAUACUGGACUAAUGGACCUUUGACAUUACUCAGUAAGGCUCUUCUUGUGUCCUUCUGCUAUUGUUGAUGGUGAUGAUUUGCACUGCAGGAUGUCUCUGUUAGGAUAUAGUUCUAUGCCACCUUAACAGGGUCAGGCAUGACUGUUGUGUAUCACAUGCCUGUUUUCUCACUGGGAACUUCCGUUGUAUGUUGCUUUUGUAUUAAGGCUGUUUUGCUGGACAUGAAGGCAAGCAGUCAUGUUUUUCUUUGUUCCUGAACACACUGAAUAAAUGCUGUAAAAAUGCUUGUACAACUCUGUCUGCCUCUUCUCUUGUGGAUUAUUUAUACACUCUGCUGACAGAGUGUGCAUGGGUCUCGGAACGUACCUGAGGCUCGUGUCACUAAUUGACUGUUCCACGGGAGACCGGUGAUCAUCCGGAGCCAGCUGGGGGCCUGCCUGAUGCCCCCGUCUCCCUGGCAGUAUCCUAACAGUCUCAGGUUCAGUCCCCAUUAUCUCCAGGUACAACAGGGAGAGAUCCCUACUUGAAGCCCUGGACAGUCACUGCCAGUCAGUGUAGACAAGACUGUUACAGAACCCGGGUGCCUCCCCCCCCCCUCUGUCGAGCGGCGGCCAGAGCCCAUGGGGUUCCAGGCACUCACCCAGGGUCUGUGGUCCUUUGGAGAACUGAGACGCGGCAGAGACUGUCGUAGCUUUUAGAAACAUGGUUUAUUUCUUAAGAAAUAUGGUUUAUAGGUGUACUUACACCUUCGGUCUGCAUGGAGGGAGUCCAGAUCUUACAGCACGGUCAUUUCAAGAGGGGCUUGUCCCCCACAGCAGGGCAGCCCUGGGGUCCAAGGCAUUUCUCCCAGGCAGCUUGCGGCCAGCCUGCCCAAGAUGGAUCCCAGUCUGUCUUCUGCCUUCCCAGAGCCCCUUGCUCAAAAACACACACCCCAUCACCUUGGCAAUGCCUGUCUUGCCAGGCCAAAGGAUUCCCCUCAGAUGGUCCAGCAACACCUUUUGUCAUGUUAAUACCUCUAUCUAUCCUAGGUGAGGAAAAGGAAACUUAGCCUGUUCUUUUCCACUGGCCUGCAAUCUUCCCUUCAAUACUCCAAAUAAUCAAAAUCCUAUCAUUUAUUAAUUUACAGUCAUACCUCAUGUUACGUUUGCUUCAUGUUACGUUCUUUCAGGUUACGUCCCGCAGCGACCCGGAAGUACCGGAAAGGGUUACUUCCGGAUUUUGCCACUUGCACUUGCGCAUGCGCAGAAGUGCUAAAUCGUGCUUCGUGCAUGCGCACAAGCGCCAAAUCGCACCGCGCACUUGCGCAGAUACGGCGCUUGAGGUUGCACUCUUUUCAUGUUGCGAACGGGCCUCCGGAACGGAUCACGUUCGCAAACAUAGGUACCACUGUAUAGGGUUUAGGGCUAGAUAUACUCAUGGCCUGACAGUAUAAGGUAAGCUUCCUGGGUCCCUAUGCCACCUGCUCCUCUAUUCUUUCUUACUGUAUUUGGGUAAGAAUUGCAUGCAGAUGAAGGGGAUGGAAAGUUUGAAGGACCCUGGGUGAGAGACAGGGAAGGGGAGACCUCCCGAUGUGAGAGGCUGGGUUGCCACAUCUUUUUCUGUAUGGGACAAAAGUUAAGAUACACUUGUGAGAGAGGAUCUUGCAUUCUUCUUUCUCUUUUUCUCUUCUCUUUGUUUCUCUCUUUUUGUUAUUCUCUGUGCAGAUCUGCUUGUAUUUUUUUCCUGCAGGGAUCUCAUGAGGGAAGUGUGAAGAUCUUCAGAAGUUGGCUUCCUGUUCAAAGCCGGGUUCCAUGCGCAUGGAAUAAGGCUGCAGCUGGAUCUGUUCCUUUAAUGGCCAGGAGCCUAUCAGUUUGAGAAAGGAUGUUUAAGCUCAUUUGCCCUCUCCUCUUCAUUAUUAGCACAGGCUGUGGAAAGGAGGGGGGGACGGCGGCAGGGAGAAGCCAUAAAGUUCCGAGCUCUGUCGUGCUGAAUUCCUUGGCAGCUUCCAAAAGGCGCCUGGGAACUGAGGCGAAAGCUUCCAAUAUCAGACAAUGACUGAUGUACAGCAUGUGUGUCACUCACGGUGUUUGAAAGUGAAUGGCUAUAAAAAUGGGUUUACUAGACAGUAAAUAACUUCUCAAAUAGGCGACGCAGGCCUUUUCUGUUUCUUCCUUCUCCCUCCCCCUCCCCUUUAAAAAGAAAACAUUAUUCUUUUUUGCACACCAAUGGAAAACAGAACACAUCAGGGACCGGAGUUUGUAUUGGGUGAACACAGCGUUCCUACGACUGCCAGCUUCAGCUUUGAAAGGGGUUUCUGUGCCUUUAAAGAAAGCUAGAGCUGCAACCCUGAGCCAUAGCUGUCAACUUACAGAUCUGAAAAUAAGGGACCAGCAGCCUUGAAAAUAAGGGACCAGCAGCCAAAAUAAGGGACCUGCAGCCUGACCUGUUCCAGGCACUCCAGUCUUCCUGUCCUCCUGCAGUCUGGUCAAACUCAUGCUGGGUAGCUUCGAGAACACUGUCCAACCAACUUUGUAACCAGAGGUUCAACUGAAUAGAAUCUGAAUCACAUGCACCACAAGGCCUAUGCAGCCUCAACUUAAGAUGGCUCCCCGGCCUGGCUUUGCACUGCAAAGUUUGCAGCAGCACGUGCAACAAAAUGGCGUCCAGCAUUCAAAAAACCCCUCAGCUUGCCUUAACAAGCCACACACAAGGCAUGCAAGCUCCACCCCCCUCGUCGUUCUUAGACUUCUUAUUGGGUGAGCAACACAGCCAAGCAACACAGUUGGAGCCUCCCUCCUCCCUGGCCGGCAGGGAGGGAGGGAGAGGCGCUGCUUCCUUUGAAAUAUAAGGGACAUUUAAGGGACAUCCAUCAGUAAGGGACAGCAGCGGGACAUGGCGCUGGAAUAAGGGACUGUCCCUUCAAAUAAGGGACAUUUGACAGCUAUGCCCUGAGCACACACCGUGGCAAAUAAACCCACGUACCUAAGCACGACUUGGGUUUAAAGAACAUUUCUGGGAAGGCCGAGAGCUACGCGAGUGUGUGAGAGUCGCCUCUGAAGUUUAUCACAUUAAAUUGUUAAAAGAACUUCCUAAACACAAUUUUAUUUUCUCUUUAUUAUAAUGUUAGCUACUUCAAGAGAUCGGCUUAGGGCUAGCAGGGUUAGUAAGAGGGAUAGUAAUGCAAUAAUAAAGAAACUAUAGAAGCACAAUCCGUUCUAGUUUUCUUUACUGCACACCCUGGGGAAUAUUCAUAUUGCAAUAGACUGCAACAAAAUGCACUUAAAGUGAGAUAGAGCCUGCCUGCUCCUUUUCCCCACCCUCGGAGUCUUUGUGCGUGUGUGUUUGAUAUAGCACAUCAUUAUUUCUUUUCUGGUUUGCAAGAUAUUUAAUUUCUUCCAUUUUACUUCCAGCAUUUACAGGUCCCUCACUAACAAAAAAGCGGUCAGGUCUGUUUUCGAACACAAAAUAAAACAAGUCAAAAAUUCAACAGCAAUAAAAACCAGCAAAAUUUGACGUAGCUAGAAUUCAGAAAGCAGACAAGAAAAAAUAUUGGAGUAAAACAGGUUAAAUGGCAUAGAAAACAGAUUUGUAAAGGUGCUGGAAAAUAAAAUUAAAAAGUUUCCCUGCUAAAUGAAGUUGUUAUAGGAAUUAUAAGGUCUCAAAUGUAGAAUGAAUGUUGAUAAUUGCACAAGGUAAACACACAUACCUAAGUAUAUAAACCACAUGUCUAAAAUAUUACAGGAAAGCAACCCAAAAGCCAUCUUGGCUCUCCUAGAGACUCUCAAUAUUUCCUCUGCCUCCUUAAUCCCCCUUGCAUGAGAACACGUAGGCAGAUAGCAAUCAGGGAAAGAUCCUGAAGGGAUUCCCCUCCUAUAUCUAUGAAUCUCCUUUGUAUUAAUUGUCAUUGUUUGCCCAGAUGCUCUACGUUGAGGGAUGUCUUAUGGCUAUCCUGAUUGUCUUACCCAAUGCUAAUGUUUUGUGCAAACUGUAUCAGGAACUAUGUAAAACUUGCUAAAUUCUCAGGAAUAUCACACCUUGGCCUGCCUGAGCCACAGUAACCCCACCUUAUGUGUGACAUAAUUUCUAACCGUUUGUUGAGAGGGGAUGCACUGGCGGAGGAAGAGGAGUGGGGGGGAGCGCACCAACCCCAGCAGCGCGAUCCCGGCAGAGUGCCAUCGCAGCUGCCCCCCUGCCUGCGCUGGGCACCCCGACCCCAGGACACGCGCCUGCUCUCCACCCCCCAGUGCCGAAGCAUGAAGCUCCGCCACUGAGGGGAUAUCCUCCUUCUCCACGCCAAAAUGAAAACCCUUAAAAAGAGAUGUUUCUUCGUGGUUCUGGGUCUCUCUUGCCUCCUUGCAACAGAAAAAUAAAGUUCUGCCUUGCUUUUGCUGCAUCCUUUCUCCAUCCAUUCAUCUCUGAUCGAUCAUGGACUUAGCGGACUCAGUCCCUUGGGGGGGUUGGGCAUCAAAAGCCAACCACCCCUAUUUUUCUAUAUUGAAGUGAAGCAGGUAACUGUGCUACAGAGUUCUCCAAACUUGAGAACUGCCCACUUUCUUGAAUGUUUUUUUAAAAAGAGAUGGGAAGACACAGUGAGCCAGUGUGGUGUAGUGGUUAAGAGCGGUAGUCUUGUAAUCUGGUGAACUGGGUUCGCUUCCCCGCUCCUCCACAUGCAGCUGCUGGGUGACCUUGGGCCAGUCACACUUCUCUGAAGUGUCUCAGCCCCACUCACCUCACAGAGUGUUUGUUGUAGGGGAGGAAGGGAAAGGAGAAUGUUAGCCGCUUUGAGACUCCCUAGGGUAGUGAUAAAGCGGGAUAUCAAAUCCAAACUCUUUUUCUUGUCUUCUUAAACUUUGGGUUCUGGGCUGAAUGAAUGCCUAAAAUGCAUGGAUGGGGAACCUUUAGCCCUCCAGAUGUUGCUGAACUGCAACUCCCAUCUGCCUCAGCACACAUGGCCAAUGGCCUGGUGUUGAAAGAAUCUCAGCAACAUUUGGAAGGCCAAAGCUUCCCUCCACCUGCUGUAAAACGAAAGGUGAGUUUCUACCAUGUCCAAUGGCCCUGCCAGCCCCUUCUGGCUCAGGCUACAUACCUAAUGUUGACCUUGCAUAUAAAAACCAUCACAACCUGAUAGCCUGGCAGGAUAUAAAUCUGAAUUUCAGAAAGAUUAAUUCAAUUUGGUGCUCAUCUAAAAUUUCCUUCCUUCCAGGGAACAGUUCUUUUUAUUAUAUUUUUUUAAAUGGUCUCAUGCGUGUGUUUUCAAAUGCAGUAAAUAGUCUUGUUCUGAGCUCUUUGCCUUUCUUAGACUCUGACAUAAGGAGGCUAUAAAUUAUUUCCUUCUAUAAAAGGCAAGGAGGUAAAUCCUCAGCAGAAUGUGCAGAGAAUUAGCCACUUAACUCCCAUUAGCAUUAAUAAGAACGGAAUAUUUAUUUACUCCACAGCACAUAAAUCACAACCUUGUAACUUCUAUAAUUUCUUAACUAUAAUGUUUCCAUUGUUCCCUUGGCUCCUGGUUAUCCACCUCAAAUAUUUACCGGAGGUGUUGGCUUCAAAGAAGUAGGGUGACCUCGCUGAGACUUUGCUCUUUCCUGUCAUCAUAGCAGCUGUAAAACUCCAGACUGAUUGUACCGGGGUGGUGAAGUCAUUGAAGAUUCUGGGACUGUGAACACAUUGUCAGCUUAAAAACGCAGCUGGGUCGUUCUUUUUCUCAAUUGAGAUCGAAGGUGGAAAUGCAUCAGAAUGCGGUAUUUCAUAAGAAACGACAGGAUAGAUAUGGAUUGUUGCUCACACCUCCACACCGGACCUAGUUAAACUAUGAAAGUCGCUCCCAUGGGAGGCAGCAAUGGCCACCAACUUGGAUGGCUUUGAAAGACGAUUAGACAAAUCCAUGGAGGACAACGCUAUAAAAGCCUACUAGCUAUGAUGAACAUGUCCUACCUCCAGGGAUGCCCUGCUGCCACACCCAUGAUGGGGAGCAGUGGUCUAAACCACUGAGCCUCUUGGGCUUGCCGAUCAGAACGACAGCGGUUCGAAUCCCCAUGAUGGGGUGAGCUCCCGUUGCUCUGUCCCAGCUCCUGCCAACCUAGCAGUUUGAAAGCACACCAGUGCAAGUAGAUAAAUAGAUACCUCUCCGGCGGGAAGGUAAACGGUGUUUCCGUGCACUCUGGCUUCUGUCACAGUGUCCCAUUGUGCCAGAAGCGGUUUUAUCAUGCUGGCCACAUGACCUGGAAAGCUGUCUGUGGACAAACACUGGCUCCCUCAGCCUGAAGCAAGAUGAGUGCCGCAACCCCAUAGUUGCCUUUGGCUGGACUUAACUGUCCAGGAAUCCUUUACCUUUAGCUUACCUAGUGGCCCACGUGGUCCAGAAUCCUGUUCUCAUAGUGGCCAACCAGGGGCCCUUUACCUUUUUUAGGGGUGCAAAAUCUGUAGGGGUGGCAAGGGGAGAUCUUUAGUUGCCAAGCAAACUGGAGUGGGUACGAUCGCUAACACAGCCACAGCUCUGCUUGAGCAUGCUUCCUUAGAGAUGGGCCUCAUCCGCUCUAUCAGAAAACAUUAAAAAAAACUUGCCUUGAACUGAAUCAUUUCCAGUAUCUUUCUAGGCUCAUGUAUUAUCUGCAUGCCCUGGCAGUGGCUUCCUGGCAGAGGUCAUCUAAAAUGCUGUUCAGUGGGAAUGACAGGAACUAAAGUGGCCGUGGGUCAGGGUAGGAAACUGGAUUCUGCUGAUGGGCCCUGCUGGGGCCCUGCACCUGUCAAUCACCUGACAUCACAGUGAUGCCAGAUGACCUGCUUUCCUUUGCCCAUGCUGGUGCUUGCAAAGCUCUGAAGGUGGUGUUGGCUGAUUGGUACUGUCGGCAAACUCUGCUUUCAGGCCAGCUGUAUCUUUACCUGCCCCAUAGCUGAAAUGUGGGCGUGGCUUGGUCAAAAUGGCUUCACAGGCUAAGUGGGGAGGCCUGGUGUGAAUGAUUAAGCUAAGGGAUGGAGGUUCCUCACUGCUGCCAUUCGCUUGAAUGGCUCUCCAGUCCAAGUCUGGUUUAACGACAAUGAACCAUCAGAAGGGACAGCAGGAGGAGCCUUUUGAAAUUGCCCCAUCAACAGUUAGUACCUGGGCACCAGACUGAGCAGAUACCCAGUGGCCAACUGGUCACAGUCUUCCCCACUAUGGUGAGAUGUAUCACAAUGCUGUAUAAAUUAUCAAUCUUUUUUUGUGUCUAUGCAUAUAAAUUAGCAUAUAUAAUAUCCCCUUGGCCCUCCCUCU